RNAcentral lists this ribosomal RNA (429 nucleotides) under uncultured bacterium. RNAcentral's name for it is "bacterial SSU rRNA". It matches the Rfam family "Bacterial small subunit ribosomal RNA", at positions 355 to 775 of the family's 1533-position model. The record is from RNAcentral.
UGAGGAAUAUUGCGCAAUGGGGGCAACCCUGACGCAGUGACGCCGCGUGAGUGAUGAAGGCUUUCGAGUCGUAAAGCUCUGUUAGGUGGAAAGAAACAUCCCGGCGCUAAUAUCGUCGGGACUUGACGGUACCACCAGAGGAAGCACCGGCUAACUCCGUGCCAGCAGCCGCGGUAAUACGGAGGGUGCAAGCGUUGUUCGGAUUUACUGGGCGUAAAGGGCGUGUAGGCGGUUGGCUAAGUCAGAUGUGAAAUCCCUUGGCUUAACCAAGGAACGGCAUUUGAAACUAGCUAACUAGAGUACAGGAGAGGAAAGUGGAAUUCCCAGUGUAGAGGUGAAAUUCAUAGAUAUUGGGAGGAACACCGGUAGCGAAGGCGGCUUUCUGGUCUGAUACUGACGCUGAGACGCGAAAGCGUGGGUAGCAAACAG